RNAcentral lists this ribosomal RNA (253 nucleotides) under uncultured prokaryote. RNAcentral describes it as "partial 16S ribosomal RNA". It matches the Rfam family "Bacterial small subunit ribosomal RNA", at positions 525 to 777 of the family's 1533-position model. The record is from RNAcentral.
ACGGAGGGGGCUAGCGUUGUUCGGAAUUACUGGGCGUAAGGCGCACGUAGGCGGCUUUGUAAGUUAGAGGUGAAAGCCCAGAGCUCAACUCUGGAACUGCCUUUAAGACUGCAUCGCUUGAAUUGUGGAGAGGUAAGUGGAAUUCCGAGUGUAGAGGUGAAAUUCGUAGAUAUUCGGAAGAACACCAGUGGCGAAGGCGACUUACUGGACCUUUUCUGACGCUGAGGCGCGAAAGCUAGGGGAGCAAACGGGA